This 73-nucleotide transfer RNA is filed under the name Ailuropoda melanoleuca (giant panda). It matches the Rfam family "tRNA". Rfam says of the family: Transfer RNA (tRNA) molecules are approximately 80 nucleotides in length. The record is from Rfam by way of RNAcentral. Lineage: Eukaryota; Metazoa; Chordata; Mammalia; Carnivora; Ursidae.
ACCUGGCUGGUUCAAUGAGUAGAGCAUGCGACUCUUGAUCGCAGGGUUAUGAGUUCAAACCCCACAUUGGGUG